GGGUUGUGAGGUUAAGCGACUAAGCGUACACGGUGGAUGCCCUGGCAGUCAGAGGCGAUGAAGGACGUGCUAAUCUGCGAAAAGCGUCGGUAAGGUGAUAUGAACCGUUAUAACCGGCGAUGUCCGAAUGGGGAAACCCAGUGCAAUUCGUUGCACUAUCGUUAACUGAAUACAUAGGUUAACGAGGCGAACCGGGGGAACUGAAACAUCUAAGUACCCCGAGGAAAAGAAAUCAACCGAGAUUCCCCCAGUAGCGGCGAGCGAACGGGGAGCAGCCCAGAGUCUGAAUCAGCUUGUGUGUUAGUGGAACGGUCUGGAAAGUCCGACGGUACAGGGUGAUAGUCCCGUACACCAAAAUGCACAGGUUGUGAACUCGAAGAGUAGGGCGGGACACGUGGUAUCCUGUCUGAAUAUGGGGGGACCAUCCUCCAAGGCUAAAUACUCCUGACUGACCGAUAGUGAACCAGUACCGUGAGGGAAAGGCGAAAAGAACCCCGGCGAGGGGAGUGAAAAAGAACCUGAAACCGUGUACGUACAAGCAGUGGGAGCACCUUCGGGUGUGACUGCGUACCUUUUGUAUAAUGGGUCAGCGACUUAUAUUCUGUAGCAAGGUUAACCGUAUAGGGGAGCCGCAGGGAAACCGAGUCUUAACUGGGCGUUAAGUUGCAGGGUAUAGACCCGAAACCCGGUGAUCUAGCCAUGGGCAGGUUGAAGGUUGGGUAACACUAACUGGAGGACCGAACCGACUAAUGUUGAAAAAUUAGCGGAUGACUUGUGGCUGGGGGUGAAAGGCCAAUCAAACCGGGAGAUAGCUGGUUCUCCCCGAAAGCUAUUUAGGUAGCGCCUCGUGAAUUCAUCUUCGGGGGUAGAGCACUGUUUCGGCUAGGGGGUCAUCCCGACUUACCAACCCGAUGCAAACUACGAAUACCGAAGAAUGUUAUCACGGGAGACACACGGCGGGUGCUAACGUCCGUCGUGAAGAGGGAAACAACCCAGACCGCCAGCUAAGGUCCCAAAGUCAUGGUUAAGUGGGAAACGAUGUGGGAAGGCACAGACAGCCAGGAUGUUGGCUUAGAAGCAGCCAUCAUUUAAAGAAAGCGUAAUAGCUCACUGGUCGAGUCGGCCUGCGCGGAAGAUGUAACGGGGCUAAACCAUGCACCGAAGCUGCGGCAGCGACACUAUGUGUUGUUGGGUAGGGGAGCGUUCUGUAAGCCUGCGAAGGUGACCUGUGAGGGUUGCUGGAGGUAUCAGAAGUGCGAAUGCUGACAUAAGUAACGAUAAAGCGGGUGAAAAGCCCGCUCGCCGGAAGACCAAGGGUUCCUGUCCAACGUUAAUCGGGGCAGGGUGAGUCGACCCCUAAGGCGAGGCCGAAAGGCGUAGUCGAUGGGAAACAGGUUAAUAUUCCUGUACUUGGUGUUACUGCGAAGGGGGGACGGAGAAGGCUAUGUUAGCCGGGCGACGGUUGUCCCGGUUUAAGCAUGUAGGCUGAUUGUCCAGGCAAAUCCGGAUAAUCAAGGCUGAGGUGUGAUGACGAGGCACUACGGUGCUGAAGUAACAAAUGCCCUGCUUCCAGGAAAAGCCUCUAAGCAUCAGGUAACAUCAAAUCGUACCCCAAACCGACACAGGUGGUCAGGUAGAGAAUACCAAGGCGCUUGAGAGAACUCGGGUGAAGGAACUAGGCAAAAUGGUGCCGUAACUUCGGGAGAAGGCACGCUGGUGUGUAGGUGAAGCCCCUGCGGGUGGAGCUGAGACCAGUCGAAGAUACCAGCUGGCUGCAACUGUUUAUUAAAAACACAGCACUGUGCAAACACGAAAGUGGACGUAUACGGUGUGACGCCUGCCCGGUGCCGGAAGGUUAAUUGAUGGGGUUAUCCGUAAGGAGAAGCUCUUGAUCGAAGCCCCGGUAAACGGCGGCCGUAACUAUAACGGUCCUAAGGUAGCGAAAUUCCUUGUCGGGUAAGUUCCGACCUGCACGAAUGGCGUAAUGAUGGCCAGGCUGUCUCCACCCGAGACUCAGUGAAAUUGAACUCGCUGUGAAGAUGCAGUGUACCCGCGGCAAGACGGAAAGACCCCGUGAACCUUUACUAUAGCUUGACACUGAACAUUGAGCCUUGAUGUGUAGGAUAGGUGGGAGGCUUUGAAGCGUGGACGCCAGUCUGCGUGGAGCCAACCUUGAAAUACCACCCUUUAAUGUUUGAUGUUCUAACGUUGGCCCCUGACCGGGGUUGCGGACAGUGUCUGGUGGGUAGUUUGACUGGGGCGGUCUCCUCCCAAAGCGUAACGGAGGAGCACGAAGGUUAGCUAAUCCUGGUCGGACAUCAGGAGGUUAGUGCAAUGGCAUAAGCUAGCUUGACUGCGAGCGUGACGGCGCGAGCAGGUGCGAAAGCAGGUCAUAGUGAUCCGGUGGUUCUGAAUGGAAGGGCCAUCGCUCAACGGAUAAAAGGUACUCCGGGGAUAACAGGCUGAUACCGCCCAAGAGUUCAUAUCGACGGCGGUGUUUGGCACCUCGAUGUCGGCUCAUCACAUCCUGGGGCUGAAGUAGGUCCCAAGGGUAUGGCUGUUCGCCAUUUAAAGUGGUACGCGAGCUGGGUUUAGAACGUCGUGAGACAGUUCGGUCCCUAUCUGCCGUGGGCGCUGGAGAAUUGAGGGGGGCUGCUCCUAGUACGAGAGGACCGGAGUGGACGCAUCACUGGUGUUCGGGUUGUCAUGCCAAUGGCACUGCCCGGUAGCUAAAUGCGGAAGAGAUAAGUGCUGAAAGCAUCUAAGCACGAAACUUGCCCCGAGAUGAGUUCUCCCUGAGACUUUAAGUCUCCUGAAGGAACGUUGAAGACGACGACGUUGAUAGGCCGGGUGUGUAAGCGCAGCGAUGCGUUGAGCUAACCGGUACUAAUGAACCGUGAGGCUUAACCUUACAACGCCGAAG
Molecule: ribosomal RNA, 2923 nt
Filed under: Klebsiella pneumoniae
Lineage: Bacteria; Pseudomonadati; Pseudomonadota; Gammaproteobacteria; Enterobacterales; Enterobacteriaceae
Description: bacterial LSU rRNA
Rfam family: Bacterial large subunit ribosomal RNA
Source: RNAcentral